Molecule: non-coding RNA, 482 nt
Organism: Meleagris gallopavo (turkey)
Lineage: Eukaryota; Metazoa; Chordata; Aves; Galliformes; Phasianidae
Source: RefSeq, a predicted model, not a curated record
GGGUGAAUAGAUAUAUUAAGUAAGUUUUUUAGUUUAAUAUUCUUGAAGUCUUAGAUGUUACAUGUGAAUGUCUGAUUGAAUGAAAAUCCUGAGAGUGAGUUAGUCCUACAGUAAUAUGCUCACAUUUUACUCUUCUCCAAUUUCAGUAUUAUGGACUGCAAAUAUUGGAAAAUGUGAUAAAAACAAGAUGGAAGAUUCUUCCAAGGAACCAGUGUGAAGGUAUAAAAAAGUAUGUUGUUGGCCUAAUUAUCAAGACAUCAUCUGAUCCAACGUGUGUAGAAAAAGAGAAGGUGUAUAUUGGGAAACUGAACAUGAUUCUUGUUCAGAUUCUGAAACAGGAAUGGCCAAAGCACUGGCCAACUUUUAUAAGUGAUAUUGUAGGAGCAAGCAGGACUAGUGAAAGCCUUUGUCAGAACAACAUGGUGAUCCUUAAACUAUUGAGUGAAGAAGUGUUUGAUUUCUCCAGUGGCCAGAUAACUCAA